AUUGAACGCUGGCGGCAGGCCUAACACAUGCAAGUCGAGCGGAUGAAGGGAGCUUUCUCCUGGAUUCAGCGGCGGACGGGUGAGUAAUGCCUAGGAAGCUGCCUGGUAUUUGGGGAUAACGUCCGGAAACGGGCGCUAAUACCGCAUACGUCCUGAUGGUGAAAGUGGGGGAUCUUCGGUGCUCACGCUAUCAGAUGUGCCUAGGUCGUAUUAGCUAGUUGGUUGGGUAAAGGCCUACCAAGGCGACGAUCCGUAACUGGUCUGAGAGGAUGAUCAGUCACACUGGAACUGAGACACGGUCCAGACUCCUACGGGAGGCAGCAGUGGGGAAUAUUGGACAAUGGGCGAAAGCCUGAUCCAGCCAUGCCGCGUGUGUGAAGAAGGUCUUCGGAUUGUAAAGCACUUUAAGUUGGGAGGAAGGGCAGUAAGUUAAUACCUUGCUGUUUUGACGUUACCAACAGAAUAAGCACCGGCUAACUUCGUG
RNAcentral lists this ribosomal RNA (484 nucleotides) under uncultured bacterium. RNAcentral describes it as "partial 16S ribosomal RNA". It matches the Rfam family "Bacterial small subunit ribosomal RNA", at positions 30 to 507 of the family's 1533-position model. The record is from RNAcentral.